Molecule: ribosomal RNA, 480 nt
Filed under: uncultured bacterium
Lineage: Bacteria
Description: bacterial SSU rRNA
Rfam family: Bacterial small subunit ribosomal RNA
Source: RNAcentral
AUUGAACGCUGGCGGAAUGCUUUACACAUGCAAGUCGAACGGUAGAGGGGGCAACCCCUCGAGAGUGGCGAACGGGUGAGUAAUAUAUCGGAACGUGCCCAGUCGUGGGGGAUAACGUAGCGAAAGUUACGCUAAUACCGCAUACGAUCUAAGGAUGAAAGCGGGGGACUCGCAAGAGCCUCGCGCGAUUGGAGCGGCCGAUAUCAGAUUAGGUAGUUGGUGGGGUAAAGGCUCACCAAGCCAACGAUCUGUAGCUGGUCUGAGAGGACGACCAGCCACACUGGAACUGAGACACGGUCCAGACUCCUACGGGAGGCAGCAGUGGGGAAUUUUGGACAAUGGACGCAAGUCUGAUCCAGCCAUUCCGCGUGCAGGAUGAAGGCCCUCGGGUGUAAGCUGCUUUGUACGGAACGAAAAGGUCUGGGUUAAUACCCUGGGCUCAUGACGGUACCGUAAGAAUAAGCACCGGCUAACUACGUG